GGCGCCGUGGCUUAGUUGGCUAAAGCACCUGUCUAGUAAACGGGAGGUCCUGGGUCCGAUUCCUAGCAGUGCCU
RNAcentral lists this transfer RNA (74 nucleotides) under Lepisosteus oculatus (spotted gar). It matches the Rfam family "tRNA". Rfam says of the family: Transfer RNA (tRNA) molecules are approximately 80 nucleotides in length. Lineage: Eukaryota; Metazoa; Chordata; Actinopteri; Semionotiformes; Lepisosteidae. The record is from Rfam by way of RNAcentral.